UGGGGAAUAUUGGACAAUGGGCGCAAGCCUGAUCCAGCCAUGCCGCGUGAGUGAUGAAGGCCCUAGGGUUGUAAAGCUCUUUCACCGGUGAAGAUAAUGACGGUAACCGGAGAAGAAGCCCCGGCUAACUUCGUGCCAGCAGCCGCGGUAAUACGAAGGGGGCUAGCGUUGUUCGGAUUUACUGGGCGUAAAGCGCACGUAGGCGGACUUUUAAGUCAGGGGUGAAAUCCCGGGGCUCAACCCCGGAACUGCCUUUGAUACUGGAAGUCUUGAGUAUGGUAGAGGUGAGUGGAAUUCCGAGUGUAGAGGUGAAAUUCGUAGAUAUUCGGAGGAAAACCAGUGGCGAAGGCGGCUAACUGGACCAUUACUGACGCUGAGGUGCGAAAGCGUGGGGAGCAAACAGG
This 404-nucleotide ribosomal RNA is filed under the name Actinomycetes bacterium. RNAcentral's name for it is "Actinobacteria bacterium partial 16S ribosomal RNA". It matches the Rfam family "Bacterial small subunit ribosomal RNA", at positions 355 to 776 of the family's 1533-position model. Lineage: Bacteria; Bacillati; Actinomycetota; Actinomycetes. The record is from RNAcentral.